Molecule: non-coding RNA, 469 nt
Organism: Cinara cedri
Lineage: Eukaryota; Metazoa; Arthropoda; Insecta; Hemiptera; Aphididae
Source: the annotation of a GenBank genome assembly
CGCUUAUACCGGCGAACGGCUAUUAUUUUUAAGAGUUUUGCCGCCGUAUCGAUAUUGCAUAUUAUCGUCUCCGUCGCCUGUCUCGAUUUUCAACUAUAUACAAACACCUGUCUCCGGUUUCCGACGACUCCCAAACCUCUAAACGUAAUACGUAUACUGUAUGUUUUAGAGACGGAAUUUUUUUCCGACUCUGGCCGAAAUCGAAUUUGCGUUACCGAAGACAAAACGUUAUCGUGACGACAACAAAAUAACACGCGAGAUUUCGCUUAAACAUCGUGUCUUACCUCUCAUAUCAAUAUCGACAUCAAAUAUAGCACCGCCGCCACCUCAAUCCCCGUUCACACCGUCCCCUUUCCGACCUGGAAUGUCAGAGGAUAAGGGGUAAAAGUAAAUGAGAUGUGUGAGAGGUAAAUGGCGGUGAAAGGGGUAGUGUUAUUUGUAUUAAUAAGAGAUAAGGUGCGAUAUGUAA